This 293-nucleotide ribosomal RNA is filed under the name uncultured bacterium. Its description in RNAcentral is "partial 16S ribosomal RNA". It matches the Rfam family "Bacterial small subunit ribosomal RNA", at positions 333 to 625 of the family's 1533-position model. The record is from RNAcentral.
CUUGCCCUACGGGACGCAGCAGUGGGGAAUAUUGCACAAUGGGCGCAAGCCUGAUGCAGCGACGCCGCGUGCGGGAUGGAGGCCUUCGGGUUGUAAACCGCUUUUGUUCAAGGGCAAGGCACGGUCUUUGGCCGUGUUGAGUGGAUUGUUCGAAUAAGCACCGGCUAACUACGUGCCAGCAGCCGCGGUAAUACGUAGGGUGCAAGCGUUAUCCGGAUUUAUUGGGCGUAAAGGGCUCGUAGGCGGUUCGUCGCGUCCGGUGUGAAAGUCCAUCGCUUACCGGUGGAUCCUCG